This 771-nucleotide ribosomal RNA is filed under the name uncultured Neocallimastigales. RNAcentral describes it as "partial large subunit ribosomal RNA". It matches the Rfam family "Eukaryotic large subunit ribosomal RNA", at positions 18 to 640 of the family's 3401-position model. The record is from RNAcentral. Lineage: Eukaryota; Fungi; Neocallimastigomycota; Neocallimastigomycetes; Neocallimastigales.
UCAGACGAUGCGUCAUGCAUAUCAAUAAGCGGAGGAAAAGAAACUAACAAGGAUUCCCUCAGUAACGGCGAGUGAAGCGGGAAGAGCUCAAAUUUGAAAUCUUGAAAGGUCACCUUUCACGAAUUGUAGUUUAAAGAAGUGUUUUCUGUUACGAUCGUAAUAUAAGUUCUUUGGAAUAGGACAUCACAGAGGGUGAGAAUCCCGUCUAUGAUUGCGAUUUGUAGCUUUGUGAUACACUUUCAAAGAGUCGGGUUGUUUGGGAAUGCAGCCCAAAACGGGAGGUAAAUUUCUUCUAAGGCUAAAUAUUGGCGAGAGACCGAUAGCGAACAAGUACCGUGAGGGAAAGAUGAAAAGAACUUUGAAAAGAGAGUUAAAUAGUACGUGAAAUUGUCAAAAGGGAAGCGUUUAACACCAGUGUUGUUUUCUGAAAAUCAACCUCUGUUAGCUUUAUGCAUGUUUGUUUAGACCUAAUCAGCUAUCUUGCAUGUUCUAUUGUUUGCAGUGGUGCACUUUUCAGUUUACAGGUCAACAUCAGUUUUUUUUACCGUAAAAAAGUUAAAGAGAGGUAGCUCAUGGCUCCGGUCGUGAGUGUUAUAGUCUUUUUCCUAUGCGGUAGGAGAGACUGAGGUCUGCAGUGUAGGCUAUUUGGCUAGAUACUCAGGUGCUAUGUGAUACCAUUUCAUAAACAACUUGUUGAUUAUGUUUUGUCUAUUGCAUACUCGCUUGUACUAUCAUACCUACGCUUAGGAUGUUGAAGACUCUACAGAGAUA